Molecule: small nuclear RNA, 107 nt
Organism: Hyaena hyaena (striped hyena)
Lineage: Eukaryota; Metazoa; Chordata; Mammalia; Carnivora; Hyaenidae
Source: RefSeq, a predicted model, not a curated record
GUGCUCCCUUUGGCAGCACAUUUUCUAAAAUUGGAACGAUACAGAGAAGAUUAGCAUGGCCCCUGCACAAGGAUGGCACAUAAAAAAUAUAGUCAUUGAAAGAAUAC